Molecule: ribosomal RNA, 253 nt
Filed under: uncultured bacterium
Lineage: Bacteria
Description: partial 16S ribosomal RNA
Rfam family: Bacterial small subunit ribosomal RNA
Source: RNAcentral
UACGGGGGGGGCAAGCGUUGUUCGGAAUUACUGGGCGUAAAGGGCUCGUAGGUGGCCAACUAAGUCAGACGUGAAAUCCCUCGGCUUAACCGGGGAACUGCGUCUGAUACUGGAUGGCUUGAGUUUGGGAGAGGGAUGCGGAAUUCCAGGUGUAGCGGUGAAAUGCGUAGAUAUCGGGAAGAACACCCGUGGCGAAGGCGGCUCUCUGGGACGGUACUGACGCUGAGACGCGAAAGCGUGGGGAGCGAACAGG